RNAcentral lists this ribosomal RNA (702 nucleotides) under uncultured organism. Its description in RNAcentral is "bacterial SSU rRNA". It matches the Rfam family "Bacterial small subunit ribosomal RNA", at positions 718 to 1434 of the family's 1533-position model. The record is from RNAcentral.
AAGGCAGCACACUGGGUAAUUACUGACGCUCAGGGACGAAAGCGUGGGGAGCGAACGGGAUUAGAUACCCCGGUAGUCCACGCCGUAAACGAUGGAUACUAGGUGUUGGGAGACUCGACCCUUCCGGUGCCGAUGCUAACGCAUUAAGUAUCCCGCCUGGGAAGUACGGUCGCAAGAUUAAAACUCAAAGGAAUAGACGGGGACCCACACAAGCGGUGGAGCAUGUGGUUUAAUUCGAUGAUAAGCGAGGAACCUUACCCAGACUUGACAUCCCGAGAAUUUUCCAGAAAUGGAAAAGUGCCGCAAGGAACUCGGUGACAGGUGCUGCAUGGUUGUCGUCAGCUCGUGCCUUGAGGUGUUCGGUUAAGUCCGUGAACGAGCGCAACCCUUGUCUUGUGUUGUAUGUUUCACAAGAGACUGCCGACUUUAAGUCGGAGGAAGGUAAGGAUGACGUCAAAUCAGCAUGGCCCUUAUGUCUGGGGCUACACACGUGCUACAAUGGCCAGUACAGAGGGCAGCAAACCCGCAAGGGGGAGCCAAUCCUUAAAACUGGUCCAAGUUCGAAUUGAGGGCUGCAAUUCGCCCUCAUGAAGUUGGAAUCGCUAGUAACCGCGUAUCAGCAAUGACGCGGUGAAUCUGUUCCUGGGUCUUGUACUCACCGCCCGUCACGUCAUGAAAGGUGGGGCACCCGAAGUACCGUUA